GGACCCGCACAAGUAGUGGAGCAUGUGGUUUAAUUCGAAGAUACGCGCAGAACCUUACCAACACUUGACAUGUUCGUCGCGACUUUAAGAGAUUAAAGUUUUCGGUUCGGCCGGACGAAACACAGGUGCUGCAUGGCUGUCGUCAGCUCGUGUCGUGAGAUGUUGGGUUAAGUCCCGCAACGAGCGCAACCCUUACUUUUAGUUGCCAUCAUUCAGUUGGGCACUCUGAAAGAACUGCCAGUGAUAAGCUGGAGGAAGGUGGGGAUGACGUCAAGUCCUCAUGGCCCUUACGUGUUGGGCUACACACGUGCUACAAUGGUAUUUACAACAGGAAGCAAGACGGCAACGUUUAGCAAAUCCUAAAAAGAUACCUCAGUUCGGAUUGCACUCUGCAACUCGAGUGCAUGAAGCUGGAAUU
This 418-nucleotide ribosomal RNA is filed under the name uncultured bacterium. RNAcentral describes it as "bacterial SSU rRNA". It matches the Rfam family "Bacterial small subunit ribosomal RNA", at positions 917 to 1333 of the family's 1533-position model. The record is from RNAcentral.